UGGGCGGGUCGAAAAUACACAAANCCUUUUUCNUGCUANCACAAACGGCUUUGUGUAUUUUCAACCCGCCCAAAAAUGAGAAUGGAGCGAUUUACGAAGUAAAUCCGCGGAAUUCGAAUGUUUGGAGAAUUGCGAGAGCAGCAAAGCAGCGAAGCAAUUCGUAGGUUUUAUCA
RNAcentral lists this non-coding RNA (173 nucleotides) under unclassified sequences. Its description in RNAcentral is "Clostridiales-1 RNA". It matches the Rfam family "Clostridiales-1 RNA". The record is from RNAcentral.